AUUGAACGCUGGCGGCAGGCCUAACACAUGCAAGUCGAACGAGUGGCGGACGGGUGAGUAAUUUCUGGGAAACCGCAUGAUGGAGGGGGAUAACUCCUGGCAAAGGUAGCUAAUACAGCAUACCAUCAGCGGUGCCCCGAUGGGAUUAGCUAGUUGGUGGGGUAACGGCUCACCAAGGCGACGAUCCCUAGCUGGUCUGAUAGGAUGACCAGCCACACUGGAACUUAGACACGGUCCAGACGCCGACGGGAGGCAGCCGUGGGGAAUAUUGCACAAUGGGCGCAAGCCUGAUGCAGCCAUGCCGCGUGUAUGAAGAAGGCCUUCGGGUUGUAAAGUACUUUCAGCGGGGAGGCGUUACCCGCAGAAGAAGCACCGGCUAACUCCGUGCCAGCAGCCGCGGUAAUUC
This 406-nucleotide ribosomal RNA is filed under the name uncultured bacterium. Its description in RNAcentral is "partial 16S ribosomal RNA". It matches the Rfam family "Bacterial small subunit ribosomal RNA", at positions 30 to 526 of the family's 1533-position model. The record is from RNAcentral.